Molecule: ribosomal RNA, 619 nt
Filed under: uncultured bacterium
Lineage: Bacteria
Description: bacterial SSU rRNA
Rfam family: Bacterial small subunit ribosomal RNA
Source: RNAcentral
GGCGGCACGCUAAGACAUGCAAGUCGAACGUAACGACACUAGCUUGCUAGAUGGGCGACGAGUGGCGGACGGGUGAGUAACGCGUANGAAUCUACCUAGUAGUGGGGGAUAGCCAAGGGAAACUUUGGGUAAUACCGCAUACGAUCUACGGAUGAAAGGGGGCCUCUCUUUGAAGCUCUCGCUAUUAGAUGAGCCUGCGUAAGAUUAGCUUGUUGGUGGGGUAAUGGCCUACCAAGGCGACGAUCUUUAGCUGGUCUGAGAGGAUGAUCAGUCACACUGGAACUGAGACACGGUCCAGACUCCUACGGGAGGCAGCAGUCGGGAAUAUUGGACAAUGGGCGAAGAGCCUGAUCCAGCAAUGCCGCGUGGGUGAAGAAGGCUUGAGGGUUGUAAAGCCCUUUCAAGCAGGGAGGAAAAGCGUACGGUUAAUACCCGGGCGUCUUGACGUUACCUGCAGAAGAAGCACCGGCUAACUCCGUGCCAGCAACCGCGGUAAUACGGAGGGUGCAAGCGUUAAUCGGAAUUACUGGGCGUAAAGCCCGCGUAAGCGGUCCGAUAAAUCCGAUGUUAAAGCCCCGGGCUCAACCUGGGAAUUGCAUUCGAUACUGUCCGGCUAAAG